UGAAGUUUGCUUUUACUUAACUUUUUUCUUGGCUAGGUAUUGAAAUUUAUCUCUAACCAGAAGAUCCCGUAAACAAAAAAAAUCCCUCAAGAGUAUGUAUACAACAGAGCCUGGAUAUAUAUUCUUACAAUCUAAAGCAUGCACAGUUGUAACCAAAUUUAAUUAAAUUAUUUUUAGCUUAGAUUAACCUUGGAUUUUUGUAAACAAUAUGGAGUAGAGUAUAUUGACUGAAAAAUUCUCUUAGUGUUCAAAUGGUAUAUAAUUUUAGAUUGCUACAUUCAUUUUUUUUUUUUGCGUGUAGUUUUCUUGAAUAAUCUUUUCCAUUUGUUGUGUGGGGGUUGAAUGAUUCAUCUAUAGAAAAUGAAACUCUUAUAUCUUUUACAAUAACUUAUCAUGUAUUAUAAUAUUAUAUGUAAGAUAUAUGCUAACGUCGUUUUGUAUAUUAAUGGUGAUGAAGAUAUG
This 462-nucleotide long non-coding RNA is filed under the name Capsella rubella. RNAcentral's name for it is "long non-coding RNA (CRUB_LNC003389)". The record is from RNAcentral. Lineage: Eukaryota; Viridiplantae; Streptophyta; Magnoliopsida; Brassicales; Brassicaceae.